This 482-nucleotide ribosomal RNA is filed under the name uncultured bacterium. Its description in RNAcentral is "partial 16S ribosomal RNA". It matches the Rfam family "Bacterial small subunit ribosomal RNA", at positions 30 to 505 of the family's 1533-position model. The record is from RNAcentral.
AUUGAACGCUAGCGGGAUGCUUUACACAUGCAAGUCGAACGGCAGCGCGGACUUCGGUCUGGCGGCGAGUGGCGAACGGGUGAGUAAUGUAUCGGAACGUGCCCAGUAGCGGGGGAUAACUACGCGAAAGCGUAGCUAAUACCGCAUACGCCCUACGGGGGAAAGCAGGGGAUCGUAAGACCUUGCACUAUUGGAGCGGCCGAUAUCGGAUUAGCUAGUUGGUGAGGUAACGGCUCACCAAGGCGACGAUCCGUAGCUGGUUUGAGCGGACGACCAGCCACACUGGGACUGAGACACGGCCCAGACUCCUACGGGAGGCAGCAGUGGGGAAUUUUGGACUAUGGGGGCACCCCUGAUCCAGCCAUCCCGCGUGUGCGAUGAAGGCCUUCGGGUUGUAAAGCACUUUUGGCAGGAAAGAAACGUCGCGGGCUAAUACCCCGUGGAACUGACGGUACCUGCAGAAUAAGCACCGGCUAACUACG